GUGCCAGCCGCCGCGGUAAUACGGAGGGUCCAAGCGUUGUCCGGAAUCACUGGGUGUAAAGGGUGCGUAGGCGGGCUUAUAAGUCUGGUGUGAAAGCCACCGGCUCAACCGGUGAACUGCCCUUGAUACUGUAAGUCUUGAGUCCUGGAGAGGCUGUCGGAAUUCGUGGUGUAGCGGUGAAAUGCGUAGAUAUCACGAGGAACACCGGAUGCGUAAGCGGACAGCUGGACAGGUACUGACGCUCAGGCACGAAAGCGUGGGGAGCGAACAGGAUUAGAUACCCCGGUAGUCC
RNAcentral lists this ribosomal RNA (292 nucleotides) under uncultured bacterium. RNAcentral's name for it is "partial 16S ribosomal RNA". It matches the Rfam family "Bacterial small subunit ribosomal RNA", at positions 505 to 796 of the family's 1533-position model. The record is from RNAcentral.